GUGCCACUGCGUCCACCCAGCUAAACAAUCCUUUGGAGCUAAAUUAGCAUCAUGACUAAUGUAGCCAUUGCUGUCAGUCACCUUCAGACAAAU
Molecule: small nucleolar RNA, 93 nt
Organism: Ictidomys tridecemlineatus (thirteen-lined ground squirrel)
Lineage: Eukaryota; Metazoa; Chordata; Mammalia; Rodentia; Sciuridae
Source: Ensembl